CAGUAAUUUUGGAUUUGUUCCUCUAACUCAUGUCUGUCUCUCUAUCAGCCCUGUGACACAUUGGUGACCUGUCCAGGGUGAACCUGCCUGUGCCUGCUGGGAUAGGCUCCAGCCCUCCACCCACACCCUGACAAUCACAUGUGGACAGACUAACUUCUUUUUUAGAUUGUUCUAGAAAGUCUGUUGCAAUGUGUUAAGCAAUGUAUUCAUAUUUAAUUUUAAAAAAGAAUCAAUGAUUUUCUAUAAAUUUGUGAUGCGUUUUUGAUUACUGAUUCCAAGAUGGCGUAGUGGUCUUUAGAGAAAUCCUGUUUGGAUUUUUAAAUGUUAUUUCUGUUUUCUGUUGCUAGCGCAGCUCUGCAGUCACUAUCCAGGUGGGUCAGUGGGAGCAGAAGCCCUCUGCUGAUGUACAGGCUCUGAUCAGCAACAUCCAGCAAGACCCACACAGCCUCUUCCUGCUGGAGCUUUUUGCUUGCCUGUGACUGGAGAGUCAGAUUUCUAUUCGGGGGUUGCAGCUUUCCUGUGCUGGAGAAACCACUUCACACCUGCAGAAGUCAGUCAGUUUGCAGAGGUCAUUAAAACCCUCCCACCCUGGCUUUCAUGUGGUGGAUCUUAUUAAACAAAACAGCAAUAUUUCAGUGGCUGCUGCUUAUACCACAGGUUUACACUCUACAGAUCUCUGAUGGGCUCCUUCAACAAAGAUGUUUAGUAGAUGUUUGUCUCCAGUUUGAUGCUCAGCAUCUCCAAAGUUUGUUUCUUGUUUAUUAUACAUUCAUACAAAGUAAUGUGAUAUCUAGUAAUAGUAUAACUGUGUCAACCUGGUGCUCUUCAUUUAUGAAGAAUUAAUAUUGGAGUAUGAAUGUUGGACCCUGUGUAUCUGUGUUCUCUGGGCUUUUCUGACCUUGGUCGUUUUGCAGGGUCAGACAACAAACCUCGUAUUACUGUACAUGUUUCUUUCUCAGGUGGACCGUGAUAUGAUGGUGACCCGGGCUGCCACCUUUCCUCUUGUGAGGAAGCAAAGCUCAGAAAGAAGGAAUCCCUGCAGUCCUGUCCUUUUAGCUCCAAGCCUGCUCAGCUUUAAUCACAGAGGAAGCAGCAGAGCAGCAGACAGUUUGAGAGGUUUGGGCUCACAGAUGGUGACAGCAUGGACAGACUGUGGUCCUUCCCCUGAAGAACUGCAGGAGUCACAGAGGAGAUGACUCCAUCUCACUGUCUGGACUUGCUGACUGAUGUUCUUCUGCACUGCAGAUGCUGAGUAUGACCUCAGAGGUCAGCUGGUCUGCAGAGUUACAAGUGAAUGAAGGCAGAGGUCAGUCUGCCUGCAGCUUCAAAGAAAACAUGCAGGUGAAGACUCAGAUGGGCAGGAUCUCAGCAUCAGACUGUCCAAACAGGCUCCAGCUUCAACAGCAGACUGAGACAGACAACAAAAGAAAACAGCAGCUUCAGUGGGCUCCACAGGUCAAAGGUGACGUUUUAAAGAGUCUUCAGAGAGAAGGGACUGAUGUCAUGUAUCGAUCACGAUUAUGAAGAUGACAGCGAGAGCAGCUACGACUGUAAAAGUCUGACCACGACUGUUUUGCACUUGUUUUACAAACAAAAUUCAACAAACUGAGUUUAACUGAAAAAACUGCAUUUUUACAGGCCACACUCACGGCACAUAAGAAAAGAAUCAUUUAAUCACUGAUGACUCAGUGACUUUAUAAAAGCUUUAAGCAGAGCCAGCUUUGAAUAUUAACACUUACCAUAUUGUACCUGUACAGCGUGUUUAUGUACAUGUAUGAUGCAUGAGAUGUUUUUCAUGUUGAGGUCAUUUCCUGAUUUAUUUUGUAAUCUUUCUUGGUUUUCUCUUCUUUGGAGCUGAUUGUGAGUCAGUGUGUAACCUCACCUGCUUCCCUUUGUUCCACAUGACUUUAAGUUUUUUGAUUUCUGUUUAUUUAAAUUUCUGUUUCAUUUUGAUCUGUGUUGUGUGACCCUUGCAGACUGUUUUGUGGACUGCUUGCCUCGCUGUGUGUACCCACUGCCUGUUUUUGACUAAAGAUUUGGAUUUUUGACUUUUAGCCCAUCUCUGAGUGUUCUUUGAGCCCUCUUCCUCUGAGUGAGGCACAUACACAUGUUUGAAUUCAGUAACUCAGCUUUCCCACUGUUUUCAGCUGUGGUCAGCAGCAGUG
Archocentrus centrarchus (flier cichlid) is the source of this 2165-nucleotide long non-coding RNA. RefSeq lists it as uncharacterized. The transcript has 5 exons. Lineage: Eukaryota; Metazoa; Chordata; Actinopteri; Cichliformes; Cichlidae. The record is from RefSeq and is a predicted model, not a curated record.